Molecule: ribosomal RNA, 507 nt
Filed under: uncultured Bacteroidota bacterium
Lineage: Bacteria; Pseudomonadati; Bacteroidota
Description: bacterial SSU rRNA
Rfam family: Bacterial small subunit ribosomal RNA
Source: RNAcentral
CACUUUGAUUAUGGCUCAGGAUGAACGCUAGCGACAGGCUUAACACAUGCAAGUCGAGGGGCAGCGAGGGAGUGGCAACACUUCUGUCGGCGACCGGCGCACGGGUGAGUAACGCGUAUGCAACCUGCCCUUCACAGGGGGAUAACCGGGAGAAAUUCCGACUAAUACCGCAUACGUCCUCCGGGGGUAUCCCCGGGGGAUGAAAGAGUUAUCGGUGAAGGAUGGGCAUGCGUGAUAUUAGGUAGUUGGCGGGGCAACGGCCCACCAAGCCUACGAUAUCUAGGGGUUCUGAGAGGAAGGUCCCCCACAUUGGUACUGAGACACGGACCAAACUCCUACGGGAGGCAGCAGUGAGGAAUAUUGGUCAAUGGACGAGAGUCUGAACCAGCCAAGUCGCGUGAAGGAAGACGGAUCUAUGGUUUGUAAACUUCUUUAGUGCGGGAACAAAGCGGCGUCGUGACGCCUGAUGAGUGUACCGCAAGAAUAAGCAUCGGCUAACUCCGUGCC